This 231-nucleotide unclassified non-coding RNA is filed under the name uncultured fungus. RNAcentral's name for it is "sequence contains ITS1, 5.8S rRNA gene". The stretch from base 183 to 231 matches the Rfam family "5.8S ribosomal RNA", at positions 1 to 49 of the family's 154-position model. The record is from RNAcentral. Lineage: Eukaryota; Fungi.
UCUCCGUAGGUGAACCUGCGGAGGGAUCAUUACCGAGUGAGGGCCCUCGCGCCCGACCUCCCAACCCUUUGUUGUACCCAACCGUUGCCUCGGGGGGCGACCCUGCCGUUCGCGGCGUGGGGCCCCCGGAGCCCAUCAAACCCUGCGUAACUAAGUCGUCGGAGUUUAAACAAAUUAAACAAAACUUUCAACAACGGAUCUCUUGGUUCGGGCAUCGAUGAAGAACGCAGC